UUAUGCACUUGGAGUUGUUUACCAUCCUGGAGGGAUUUCUCAAUAGUUCCCUGUGAAGGAUUCCUCCGUGCUCCUCAGCGGAGAGCCAAGACUCCUCCCAGCUGGGAGGCUCCCUCUCUUUGCCUGCGGUCCCCCUGAACCCUUUCCAGAACCUGCUUCUCUGGCGGGCAGCCAGGGGCUCCAACAAACACUGUUUUCUCAGCACAGAGACCAGGUACCUUUGUACAGACGGGCGGCUGAAUCUCUGGAGCAAAUCCAGGAGAGAUACUCAUCCGAGCUGGUGUUUCUCUAGACAACACAGGGCUGUGUCCAGUUGGCUGAGAAUCUGCUGGAUUUCAGAGUGCGGCACCAAGUUUUAGUUCAUCUAUUCAUUGGCUCUGUGAUUUGAGACAAAUACCUCCACCUCUCUGAGGCUCAGAUUUCCUUCUCUGAAAAAGGUCAUACAGCUAGAGUUCUUUAAGAUCUUGGCAUGUUCUAGAACACUGUGACCUCUCUCGAGUGAGAACAAGAGGGGAGUUUGGUCUGUUCCCUCCCCUGUCUAUUCUUUCGCUCCCUUCCUCCCUUCCUGUUCCUUUCUCCCUCUUUUUUCUUUCUUUCUUUUUUUUUUUCUUUCUGUCAUGUGCCAAGAUUCUAAGUUAACAGGCUGCUUUAGCUGAAAUUAGUACCUUAGAUUUUUUUUUUUUUUAAUCAUCCUGGGUAGGAGCCAGAGAAAUGAUCUCUGAGAAGCUGUGACCAUGUUGUGAUGCUCUUCGACGAGCCACAUUUCAAGCCACGAGAGUGCCAGACACACUAUCUGGGAAUCCCCAACAGACCAGGAUUUGCUUUGGAAUCCAGUGGUGCCAAGGACAGGACAGAGGGAGCCAUUUGCCCUGGGUGCCGUCACUGAUGGGCACAUUGUCUGUACAGAGUUUAAAAACAAUAGUGAAAGAGCCCAGAUGUCCAUCGACAGAUGAAUGGAUAAAGAAGAUGUGGUUUAUAUAUAUAUGAUGGAAUACUACUCAGACAUCAGAAAGGAUGAAAUCUUGCCAUUUGCAACGACGUGGAUGGCACUAGAGGGUAUUAUGCUGAGUGAGGUGGCCCCUGUUAUUACGCUGAAACCCAUCUACUCUGUUCCAAGCCUGCCCUCAUUUUUGUGCAAAGAAUUAUGAUUGACACAUGGGGGUCAGACUUCAUGGGGCCAUGCUGAACCUCAUCACUUCUUGGUGACUUUAAAAAUUUAUCUCAUCUGCAACUUACUUUCUUAGGUGUAAAAGAGGUGUCAUAUCACCAUUAGUGGUGCUAUUAGUGGUGCUGUAAAGAUUACAUGAGCUAAUUUUGUUGUGUUUAAUAAAAUUCCUAGGUACCAUUGGUACUCAAUUUUUUUUUUUAUGAAAAUUAGUGCCAAACUGAGCACACAUAGGUAAAAGUUUUGAACCAACAGAAUAUUGGAUCUGGGGGAGGAGCAAGAUGGCGGAAGAGUAGGGUCUCCAAAUCACCUGUCUCCACCAAACUACCUAGAAAACCUUCAAAUUAUCCUGAAAAUCUAU
Canis lupus familiaris (dog) is the source of this 1526-nucleotide long non-coding RNA. RefSeq lists it as uncharacterized. NCBI's taxonomy places the organism in Eukaryota, Metazoa, Chordata, Mammalia, Carnivora, Canidae. The transcript has 4 exons. The record is from RefSeq and is a predicted model, not a curated record.